CAAGCGGUGGAGCAUGUGGUUUAAUUCGAUGCAACGCGAAGAACCUUACCUGGUCUUGACAUCCACAGAACUUUCCAGAGAUGGAUUGGUUCCUUCGGGAACUGUGAGACAGGUGCUGCAUGGCUGUCGUCAGCUCGUGUUGUGAAAUGUUGGGUUAAGUCCCGCAACGAGCGCAACCCUUAUCCUUUGUUGCCAGCGGUYCGGCCGGGAACUCAAAGGAGACUGCCAGUGAUAAACUGGAGGAAGGUGGGGAUGACGUCAAGUCAUCAUGGCCCUUACGACCAGGGCUACACACGUGCUACAAUGGCGCAUACAAAGAGAAGCAAUCUCGCGAGAGCUASCGGACCUCAUAAAGUGCGUCGUAGUCCGGAUUGGAGUCUGCAACUCGACUCCAUGAAGUCGGAAUCGCUAGUAAUCGUGAAUCAGAAUGUCACGGUGAAUACGUUCCCGGGCCUUGUACACACCGCCCGUCACACCAUGGGAGUGGGU
Molecule: ribosomal RNA, 489 nt
Filed under: Enterobacter cloacae
Lineage: Bacteria; Pseudomonadati; Pseudomonadota; Gammaproteobacteria; Enterobacterales; Enterobacteriaceae
Description: bacterial SSU rRNA
Source: RNAcentral